RNAcentral lists this ribosomal RNA (403 nucleotides) under Fusobacteriota bacterium. RNAcentral describes it as "Fusobacteria bacterium partial 16S ribosomal RNA". It matches the Rfam family "Bacterial small subunit ribosomal RNA", at positions 355 to 776 of the family's 1533-position model. Lineage: Bacteria; Fusobacteriati; Fusobacteriota. The record is from RNAcentral.
UGGGGAAUAUUGCACAAUGGAGGGAACUCUGAUGCAGCGACGCCGCGUGAACGAAGAAGGCUUUCGAGACGUAAAGUUCUUUUAUAUGGGAAGAUAAUGACGGUACCAUAAGAAAAAGCCCCGGCUAACUACGUGCCAGCAGCCGCGGUAAUACGUAGGGGGCUAGCGUUGUCCGGAAUCACUGGGCGUAAAGGGUUCGCAGGCGGAAAUGCAAGUCAGGUGUAAAAGGCAGUAGCUUAACUACUGUAAGCAUUUGAAACUGCAUAUCUUGAGAAGAGUAGAGGUAAGUGGAAUUUUUAGUGUAGCGGUGAAAUGCGUAGAUAUUAAAAAGAAUACCGGUGGCGAAGGCGACUUACUGGGCUCAUUCUGACGCUGAGGAACGAAAGCGUGGGUAGCAAACAGG